AUUCGCAUAUACGGUGCACAAACCGUUGCUCGACGACGGGCCACUCAUUCGCGUAACGACUGUCUAACGCUGCAGAUGUGGCAACGGUUUGUGUACCGUACCGUAGUUAGUAAACCGUAAACUUGAUUGCCUCAAAAUCGUGUUUUAGCACUCGUUUUGUGUGAACUUUGCUUUCGUCAAUUUUUCACACACACACACACACACACAUACAUACAUACAUACACACUCACAUAGGCAAAUACGCUGGUGUUGACUCUGCCAUAUACUGCGAUGAUCUUGCAGUUUUCAGCUUUCUCGGUCGUCACUAUUCGCAUUCCGCUGUUAUUGCGACAUAGUUUUCGUAAAUACACGUAACGGUACACACACGUAAAUUCCGCAAAUCCCGCUAGACAAGUAUAAAUGUAGCAACACAAACCAAAGAGACAACAAAAGAGACAAGAUUCACACACGUAGCGCAAUAUUGACAAGAAAAGCUGUCGCAUUAUAUGAACACAACAGUUAUAGACUGCAUGUUUACACUCUAGCAACAACUGACUCUCUGCUAUCACUUAACAAAAUACAAAGUGUGAAAAGGUUUUAAAAACACGUUUGAAAAUUACUAAAAAAUUAAAAAAAAAAAUAAAAAUUUUGCUCCAAAAAUGAAAAAAAAAAUGUGCGCGUACCAGACACAGACAGCAAAUGCAGUAGACUAUCUAUCCAAGACGCUAAUCGACAACAAAAUCAAAUGUAUGUGCAUAUAUAAACAAGUCAAUAUGUCAAUGCAUACACAUACAUUUCAAAAACAUACUGUAAUCAAAAUGAGCUGAUCUUCAACAUAGCGCCAGGUAACCCAUAUAAGUGAUCGCACAUAUAUGUACAUAUGAACCACACACAUAUAUACGCAUACAAACAAACAAACCUAAUAUGUAUAUGUAUAGUUGAAGUGAUUUCCAUUUAACCUCCGCUGUGCUAAGUUCAUUCGCGUAAGUGUAGUGUCGCGUAUACGCCCGUCUGUCGUCAUUGUACAACUACUAACUAGUGCACCGUCGCAGAUCGACAACGCAGCGCAGCUAGACAGCAAUUAUAAAAGACUACGGUAAUAAUGUUGAAAACGCAAUUUAGCAAACAAAAAAACAACAACAAAAAACAAAUACACGCAGAGUAAUGAAAUUACUAAGUUGAAGGCAGAAGAAAGGGACUAGUAGAAGAGGAAAUUUGUAAAUCAAACACAGCGUACAGACUUUCAUUAAAUUAAGUUCUGCCCAUACGUCGAAUUCUAAUGCAAAUCUAAGCAAACUUCCUUAUAUAGUCUAUACAUGCAGUAUUCAAAAGAUUGGCAACCAUUCACCAUAUCUUGAAGCGGUUAACAAAUUUACCAUCCAAAUACUGCUGCUUUUGAAAUACAAGUGACAAAAUGCUGAACUCGCCGUACAAAACUGAUACAAUCUAAAUAAUGGGAACUUAUUUAAAACUGGAUGGCAGAGUGCAUCAUAUCUAUCCACUGUAUAAGGUUGACAUUUUUACUGAUUACCAUAUUGGUUAACAACGAUUAUAAAUAAACAAUGGAUACUGCAACUCGCUUUCAUCAGCGGCCAUGGACAAUAUUUCAUCGGAAUGACACAAUCUGCUAAUGGAUAUUUGAUAAGGAUCGAUGGAUGCUUUUAUAUUUCUCCUUUUUCCAACAACAAAUACAGUGAGAGCUAUGGUUCAGUUCCACUUGCACUUGCAAGCCUGAAUUUGGUAAAUUAGUAUUUAAUAGUCGCCAGGUAUAGUAUGUACGUAUGUAUGUGCCAGCUGUGCCAACGUAUAUGGAUAUUUACAUAUGUAUAUACAUAUAUGUAAUUGAACCGUUACCUUGUUAAUUAGCGUAAAAAGAUCAACACGUAAUGGUCCGGUGCGACCGGAUGAGGGUCCUCAACGACCGUUUUCAAAUAUUUACGGGUCGGUGGGACUUUCGUCCGUUUGUAAGGCCAUGUGUCAGCAGGAAAUACUUAUGCUUCCUUUUUUCAAGUGAAAAGCGAAUUUGGUAAAACUAAUUUAAUAUCAUUCAUAACUUCUAUUCUACUUAAAAUAAUAAAUGCACAAUGGUAUUAUAUUUUAGCCCGAGUCUUCAGAUGUCAGACCAGUUUAACUAUUGUGGAAUCAAGCAAAUACUAAAACGUUUUUUCCAUGACUCAAAGGACAUGUCGGACAAUGUUACAUCGCUAGUGCUGCCUAACUGGUAUUCUUUGCACGAUUCGCUCGACCGACAAAAAACCACGUCAUGAGAAUUAUCCGAAAGGUCCGGUCUGCUGGUGCGCCUGACAUUUGUAAUCGGCAACGUACACUCUUUCAACGUUCAAACACGAAUAUACAUCUAUACCAGAUGAUGUUUCGAGUGCAGUGAAGCCUACUAAUGAAGAUCUAAGUAGGAAUGAACUCUUGCAGCAGUGUAUUGGUGGUUUUAGACGAAAUAACGGAGAACUAGUUAAACUAGAAAAUUACCCUAUCAGUACUUAAAGCUGGCUCUAUUUUUAAUAAAGGAACAUCAGCUUUAUGAUUAACUAUGAAAAGCUGACGAAAUCCGUAUCUGCGCCGCCGAGAGAAAAUCUGCAAAUGAGACUCAUGAGGCUGGAAUUCGUCAUAGAUAAGAACUUUACUUUAAGGCCCAGGAAUCGAAGGCUGUCCAUGGAUCUUUAUGAAAUUUUAGAUACAUAUGUCUUCCGGAUAAAAUAAAUAUGGAUCUGGAAAGAAUUUUUUUCAAUUACAACUAUUAAUUCUACAAUUUUUCCUCCAAUUCUAUAAUUUUUCCUUCGUCCAAGUUGUAGUUCAAAGCCACGGUGCGCCUUUUUUCGCGAGGGAUCGUCAGAAAUAAUCACAAUGGUAAUAAUCUUAACUUUAAGACAAAAAAAGGUUCGUACUAAAUACUAAGUUGCGUUGCUUUAGUUAAAAUGGAAAAGAGCAAAUCAUUAAUUAGUAAUAAACAUGUCAAAUAUAUAAAUACAAUUCAACUUCCAUAACUCGAAGGUCUCUAUAACUCGAACUCUUGUAUUGGCAAUAGAAGUGAAAAUUCAUACAAAUUUCCUUCUAUACCUGGGAAGUCUCUCUAACUCAAAGAUUUAUUGUGGAUUAUAGUGAUUCGAUAGUGAUAACCAUAUUUUCAUCUGCAGCAGAUAUUGCCAACCUGCGGGAUUGAAGAGAAUUGAAAGAGCUGUAAUUGAAGGUAUACAAUGUAUUUCAGUAAAUAAUUGGUUGAACUUUAAUUUUAACUAUAGUUUGUUGUAGUUUCAGUUACCCCCAGAGAUAGAAGAUGUGGAUAAUUCAACAGAAACGAAAUGCUGAAUCAUAAGCUACUCAUAUAUACUAUAUACACGCCGAUAACCGAUACUGUAUCACAAUCAUCGAGUAAUUCCCGAGUCGGUCAGAGACGAUUCUCAUACCCGAAAUGAUAGUACCAAACAUCGCCAAAGCUCUUAUUCCAAAUUCUACUCGAAGAUUUCAGGUUACAGUUACAGCAACGAUGGUCAAUAUAGCAUAUUGUUGAACGCUAUGUUCGUGAAAAUAGCUUCGCAAAUAAAAAGAAAACUAUUCAUAUAUCAAAUAUCAACAUAUCAAAUAUUUAAAAUAUCUUUUAUAAUAUUGUUUUAUUUAUAUAUUUAAGUUUUUUAUUUUUAUAUUAAAAUUUAUGGAAGUUUGGAAAAGAGCUUUUAACUAAGAUUGAAAAAUAUUCUGCAAUGCAAUAAUUCGUGAAAAAAAAACUUCUACUGAGUUGAUUUUCGAUUAUAUACAUAUAAUAUAUAGUAUAUAGGGGCUGGGGUAAUUCCUGGACCGAUUUCUGCCAUUUUCCCCGCCAAACUACAUUAUUAACAAGAUUAUCCGUUCAUUUAAUUUAUUUUAAGGUAUCUCACAUAUUAACAGUAUAAUGAAACCCGGAAGUUUGCAAAUCAUACAAUUAGGUAUGUGGGAGACAGGAGAAAUAAUUUUUUAUCGAUUUACCCAUUUUUUUACCGAUUUUAUGACUGUUAAUUAUUAAAUGAAAAAUAUUCCCUUUGGAUUUCUAUAAAAUACCUGAGAGAUUUCCGAUAUUUUCGGUAUUUUCUAGGGGCUUAGAAGAGUUAUAUACCGAUCUCGACCAUUUUAUGUUGAGCGAUGCCAUAUCUUAAAUGCAGUACUUUGCAAUGUACAUUUCUGAUAUCAUCACUGAUGCUUGUUUUGUAUUUUGGAAUGUGAACGAGUCACAUGGAAUUGUAAUAUUGGAAGUAGGCAUGGUUGUGAACCGAUUUCGCCCAUUUUUCACCAAUUUCUUAAAAACUAAUCGAAUAAUAAAAUUCAGAGAGCGUCCUCUCCUGAUAACAAUGUGCUCUGAUGCUCAAAGUUAAUAAGUCGGGUCAAUUAGUCCUCUAACUCUCAUUUAUCUAAAAUACAAAUUUUCAAAAUGGCCUUGAACUGUAUAGUAUAUCGAUUAACUUAAGGAGAUUUGCUUUAAAAAACUAUAUUUUUUUGGAAUGUAACACCUACUGCAAGAGGAAUUAAGAGUUAUAUAAUCUAUAUGAAUAUGAUUGCAAACCAAUCACUGUUUCGUCGAAUAACGAAUGUUAAAUUCAUAUGCAAAAAAAUUUGCGAGAGAAUAAAAUAAAAAGCUUAUUAUUUUCAUUCUUGUAUCUUUCCUUAUUUCUAAGCUUACAAAAACAAUGUACAAAAUUAAUUAAAAAGAAAAUAAUUAUCUUUAUUAUGACAUGAUUUUUUUUUGAAAAUUUCUUAAUUAAAAUUUUAUUGUUGUUUAUAGAUUAUUUUUGUGGCUGCAUAAUAUAAAUUGGCACUCCCAGUACAUACUUGUAGGUGUACGUGUACAUAUGUACAUAUAUCAAAAGGUCGAGACAAGUCGAUUAUUUAUAUGUAACGUACGUCGCCUGUACGUGUGACUAAUGGUAUAACUUAGGAAAAUAUUUCAUCAUCUUCAAUAAACUUGACAAUGACAAUAACACGACAAGACGAAAUAUCUGCUGUCAUCAAACAAACUGUCAGCGCAUACGCGUCUUGGCUCCCACGUUACUGUUGACAGUCAUAACUUUGAUGCUCCAGAUAAUCUUGUCUACCUCGGAACCAGCAUCAACAACACCAACAAUGUCAGCUUAGAAAUAAAAUGCAGGGUCACUCUUGCCAACAGAUUCUUUUGGACUUUGGACUUAGUAGGCAAUUGAAAGGCAAAGUACUCUCUCGACGAACCAAAACGAAACUCUACAAGUCGCUCAUUGUUCCCGUUCUGCUUUAUGCUGCAGAAGUGUGGACGUUGUCAACAUCCGAUGAGACGACACUAGGAGUUUCUGAGACAAAGGUUUUACGGAAGAUUUAUGGUCCUUAACAUUGGCAACGGCGAAUACCGCAGAUGAUGCAACGAUGAGCUAUACGAGUUAUACGACGACAUAGACAUAGUUCAGCGAAUAAAAAGAUAGCGGCUCCGUUGGCUAGCGCAUGUUGUUCGAAUGGACGUACAACACUCCAGCUCUGAAAAGGGUCGAUGAAUAGUACCCGAGAGGAAGAGCGAGGCCUCCACUCCGUUGGAAAGACCAGAUGGAGAAGGACCUGGUAGCACUUGGGAUCUCCAACUGGCGCCAAACUGCCAAAAGAAGGAACGAAUGAACCAACAACCUAUAAUCUAUAUACAUAUACAUAUACCAUAUGUAAUAAAACUCAUUCAUAUUGGCUUCAAUAUUUUUAUUGCUCAAAUUGCUUACAUUUGUAUUUUAAUAAAUUUCUAAUAUUCAUGUGAAAACAAAUGAUUUAUAACAAGUACUUAUAAAUAUUUUAAUAAGUUUUAAAGUAUAAAGGCAUUCAUAGACACUCGAGUUCAUGCAUACUCUUGGCUUACAUUUGAGUAAUCCGAUUACUGCACUGCAGAUCAAACUAGCUCAUUGCCUUUUUCUCUUUCGAUUGUUUGUAAGUGUUUGGAACAUUUACAUUUAUAAAUAAAGCGAAAACAAUAAAAUAUUUUUACUAUUGACUAGUUAAAAUUUGUUUCAUUCAUUAUAGUUUUUACAGAACGAUGCACUUAAAAUUCGUAGUUUGAAAUAUUUUUGAGAUAGUUAACAUAAACUUAUGCAUUUUGACUCUUCAACUCUUCAACGCUUUGUCAUAUACUCGUAUACGUACAUUUAAACAUAAAUAUUUAUAUAAUAUAAUAGUUAGUUAGUUGGUUGAUUAAAUUUCACUAUUGCACACUGGUUGUACUUAAACUAAGUUGUAAUUGUUCUUGGCGUUAUUUUUGCAGCCUAAGCACUUUCUAACUAAGCUCACAUUCACAUUCCAUAUAUUUUGCGCUGAUACUACAUCAACAGCCGACUUGAUUUAUCGCAUUUAAUGAUCAUACUCC
This is a long non-coding RNA of Zeugodacus cucurbitae (melon fly), 6328 nucleotides long. RefSeq lists it as uncharacterized. The record is from RefSeq and is a predicted model, not a curated record. The transcript has 5 exons. NCBI's taxonomy places the organism in Eukaryota, Metazoa, Arthropoda, Insecta, Diptera, Tephritidae.